Molecule: ribosomal RNA, 253 nt
Filed under: uncultured bacterium
Lineage: Bacteria
Description: partial 16S ribosomal RNA
Rfam family: Bacterial small subunit ribosomal RNA
Source: RNAcentral
UACGUAGGGCGCAAGCGUUGUCCGGAAUUAUUGGGCGUAAAGAGCUCGUAGGCGGCUUGUCACGUCGGGUGUGAAAGCCCGGGGCUUAACCCCGGGUCUGCAUUCGAUACGGGCAGGCUAGAGUGUGGUAGGGGAGAUCGGAAUUCCUGGUGUAGCGGUGAAAUGCGCAGAUAUCAGGAGGAACACCGGUGGCGAAGGCGGUUCUCUGGGCCUUACCUGACGCUGAGGAGCGAAAGCGUGGGGAGCAAACAGG